GAAGACGGGGGCGGGGCUUAAAAAGGAAAGGCGCGGUGCGCAAAGCGUGAGGGAGCCCUGAGGAGCCGUGGUGGUGAGGCAUAAGGAGUGGCCCGCCGCGGUCGAACUUUCCCUCUUGAUUAAAGUGCGGCUGCGUGUGAGAGCCUCAAACAGAAAUGCUCACUGCGGCGCACUGGCGGCGGGGAGGGAGAGCUGGCGAGAAGCGACUGCACCGUGGGACACGUGCGUACUCCUCGACCACUCCACCGUGGGACACGUCCGUCUCCUCGACCACUCUCCCCGUGAGACACGUCCGUCUCCUCGACCACUCAGCCCGUGAGACACGUGCGUCUCCUCGAGCACUCAGCCCGUGAGACACGUCCGUCUCCUCGACCACUCUCCCCGUGAGACACCUGCGUCUCCUCGACCACUCUCCCCGUGAGACACCUGCGUCUCCUCGACCACUCUCCCCGCGAGACACGUCCGUCUCCUCCAUGAGUCUCAAGACUCUUUUUCAGGAAGAUCCUGCCCAAGUGAUUAAUUCCCCAGUCGAUGUUUUUCCGAGAUGCUGCCAACCUGGGUUGGAGUAAGGAAUUGUCACUAGGGUAAGAUAUUCGCCUUUGUAGAACCAUCCUAUACUAUUGUUAACGUAUCGAGGCGAUCUUAGAGCACCGUGAACAGGUUUAUAAAUAUUAGAUGCCGUAUCACAAGGAUACCACGAGGCGAGGGUUGGAUGUGUCGGGCCAAAAUAAUUCCCGGGAACAGCGGUCCCGACUCCUCCAGCUGAAAUGAGACCCCGAUUGCCAAUGUCCAAAUCCUCUUUCCCGAGUGUGUGGAGAAACCCCCGCCGUGCCCACGAAGGGGGACAGCAAUCCAGAGGUCCACACAGAUGGGUUCACACGCCCACUCGCCUCGCCUUCAUCUCCCGACCGCCUCUCAGCGCAGCGAGGAAUUUGGAAUUUGUCGCAGAUCUGCGAUCGGCCGAUCCUCGCGUGCACGGCGCCGAAUCGCAGCCGCCGUUGCGUCACCGAAUCUCGCGGCUCAACUGGAAUCCGUCAUUAACGAAGCCUCGAAAUUAAAAUUAAACCUAAUUACAUUC
Non-coding RNA from Petromyzon marinus (sea lamprey), 1078 nucleotides. Lineage: Eukaryota; Metazoa; Chordata; Hyperoartia; Petromyzontiformes; Petromyzontidae. The record is from RefSeq and is a predicted model, not a curated record.